CCUACGGGAGGCAGCAGUGGGGAAUAUUGCGCAAUGGGCGAAAGCCUGACGCAGCGACGCCGCGUGAGGGAUGAAGGCCUUCGGGUUGUAAACCUCUUUCAGCAGGGACGAAAACAGACGGUACCUGCAGAAGAAGCACCGGCCAACUACGUGCCAGCAGCCGCGGUAAUACGUAGGGUGCAAGCGUUGUCCGGAAUUAUUGGGCGUAAAGAGCUCGUAGGCGGUUUGUCGCGUCGGCUGUGAAAACUCGGGGCUCAACCCCGAGCCUGCAGUCGAUACGGGCAGACUAGAGUGCUGUAGGGGAGACUGGAAUUCCUGGUGUAGCGGUGAAAUGCGCAGAUAUCAGGAGGAACACCGGUGGCGAAGGCGGGUCUCUGGGCAGUAACUGACGCUGAGGAGCGAAAGCGUGGGGAGCAAACAGGAUUAGAUACCCUGGUAGUCCACGCCGUAAACGGUGGGUGCUAGGUGUGAGCGGUAUUCCACGCCGUUCGUGCCGCAGCUACGCAUAAGACACCCGCCCGUCGGGGAGGUACGGGCCGGCCGAACGGACGUAAAACCGUAACCGAAACGGUAAAGUUAGUACGGCGUUGUAGACGUUGCCGAACGGACGACGACGAGGGGAGGUUAGG
Molecule: ribosomal RNA, 629 nt
Filed under: uncultured bacterium
Lineage: Bacteria
Description: bacterial SSU rRNA
Rfam family: Bacterial small subunit ribosomal RNA (bases 1-519)
Source: RNAcentral